CGUCACACUUCUUUGCGUUAGUCAAGGGAACUGCAGAGCGAUUUCACCUAUAUUUCUGGACAGAGCGUUUUCGUUCAUUUAGUAUUUUAUCGUUCAUGCGUUCCCGAUUAAACACAUAUUUUAUGGCUGUAAUAGGACGUUGCAACGGAUAUUUUGGGAUGGGUUGUGCAGACCUUAUGUUAUAGCUUGCUCUGUGUGGACAUCACCGCCACCGUGGAAGAAAACGGCAGCUCAUGGCACCAGGCCUACACAAACUCGGGCCCCAGCCCCCUCCCAGCACCACCCGAACACUUGUGCAAGGCCUGCGGAGGCCAAUUUGACACCGUAAGAACGCAUGUCUGCGUGGACUGCAAAAACAACUUCU
RNAcentral lists this long non-coding RNA (364 nucleotides) under Sinocyclocheilus grahami. RNAcentral's name for it is "lncRNA (ENSSGRG00000051497.1)". Lineage: Eukaryota; Metazoa; Chordata; Actinopteri; Cypriniformes; Cyprinidae. The record is from RNAcentral.